GGUUCAGCCCCUAUGGUUCUUACUGGCGCCAUGUGCGCAAAAUCGCCACGGUGGAGCUCCUCUCUUCGCAUCGCAUAGACACUCUGAAGCACGUGAUGGAUGCCGAAGUGAAAGCAGCAAUGAGGGACAGUUACAGUUUGUGGUUGAAGAAGAAAGACGGCGGUUCUGAAAUGAAGAGGUGGUUUGGGGACAUAACAUUGAAUAUAAUGUUCAGGACGGUGGUAGGAAAACGUUUUGGCAGUGACGGCGGUGUGAAUGAAGAGAACGAACAGCUACGAAAGGCAUUGAGGGAGUUGUUUGAUCUGAGCGGUUCAUUCGCAGUUUCUGACUCUCUGCCAUAUCUAAGAUGGUUAGAUUUGGAUGGUAUCGAGAAGAAAAUGAAGAGAACGGCAAAAGAUUUAGAUGGGUUUGUUCAGAAUUGGCUUGAAGAACACAAACGCAACAGAGGUUGUGAUUUAGGUGAAGGAAAACAUAACCAGGACCUGAUGGACGUGCUUCUUGGGCUUGCCGAACAAGGCGAAGAGUUUGACGGUCAUGACCCUGAAACCACAAUCAAAGCCACGUGUCUGGUACGUCUCAACUUGUUACUUUUUUUCCUUACUUGUCACAUGCCUCACAAUUUUUUAUUAAUAAAAUAUUUUGACACAAAUAUUUUUACUGAUUUAUCAUCAAUAUAUUUUAAAUUUAAUGAAAAAAUAUAUAUCUAAAGUGUUAAAAUAUUAUUAAAAGAAUUGCAUUAACAUAUUAUUAUUUUUUAUAUUAAUUUGAUAUAACUUUUUCCUUUUUUUAAAAAUAAAUUAUUAAUAAAAUGACACAUAUUUAUAUUUAUUUGAUAUACAUUAAAAAAGAAAAUAGUUAUAAAAAAGAUAAAUUUUAAUAUUUUUAUAAAGAAAAAUAAAUGUAUAAAAUUUAUGUAUUAAAGUAUAAUUUCCGUACGUUCUUAAAAAUAUAAAAAAUUAUUCUUUUAUAAUAUUUUAAUCCGUGUGUCGAAUAUGACCAUGUAAAUGAAUCAUCCUACCAUUACUUUAAAGUAUUUAUAAUACAUUUACAAUCUGUUUUUCAAUGUAAAAGUAGAAGAGUAUGGUUGUGUAAUUUUCCAUUAUUUUAUCUAAUAUAAUACAUACAUAUUUAAAUUAUUUAAACGUUAAUAGCAUAUACAAGUAUGAUUAAAAAAUAGCAAUAAAUAUGUUCUUAAAAUUUGAAAUAAACAAAUUGAAAAACAAUUUUUAUUUUCUAUUUUAUUUUCUCAUUACUAGAAGAAGAUAAAUUUAUGAUAUUUUUCUCAUUUUUUUACUUUGUAGGCUUUAAUUUUGGCUGGUUCAGAUACGACAACAGGAACAUUAGUAUGGGCUCUCUCGUUACUUUUGAAUAAUCCUGAAAUUCUGAAAAAAGUGAUCUAUGAAUUAGAUAAAGAAGUUGGGAGUGAAAGGAUGGUAGAGAUGUCAGAUUUAAAGAAGCUAAAGUAUCUUCAUGCUAUCAUCAAAGAAACACUGCGUUUAUAUCCAGCAGCACCACUUGGUGUGCCACACGAGUCCAUGGAAAAUUGCACAGUGGGUGGAUAUCACAUAGCAUCGGGCACACGUCUUUUGACUAAUCUUUCAAAACUUCAAAGAGAUCCAUCUUUAUAUGAAAAUCCCCUUGAAUUUUGUCCAGAAAGAUUCUUAACAACCCACAAGGAAGUGGACGUGAAGGGUCAACAUUUUGAAUUGAUUCCAUUCGGUGCAGGUAGAAGAAUGUGUCCUGGGAUAUCUUUUGGUCUUCAAGCGAUGCAACUCACACUUGCUACCUUAUUGCAUGGAUUUGAUAUUGCAACCAUUGAUGGAAGACUUGUUGAUAUGGUUGAACAGAUUGGUUUAACCAACAUUAAAGCUUCUCCCCUCCAAGUCAUUCUUACUCCCCGACUAUCUUCUCAUAUUUAUGAAUAAUAAGCUUGUAGUUUAUUUAGCUAUUAAAAUGUGUAAGGAAUUGAAUUUAAUCAUACAAUAACACGAAUAAAUAAUCAUCACUGUUUUAACUACUUUUAUAUUUAAUUAUUUACUUAAUUUUCAUAUCUUUUCAUGUUCUUAUCCCAUUCGUAUCACUAUUUAUAUUAGUAAGAAAUUUAUAAUUAUAAAUGUGAAGAAAUUAAUUAUAGAGUAUAGUUUUUCGUUGAGUGAAAAUAAAUUAAAAAAAAAAUAGUGGUGACAUGGUCACAUAUUUUAUAUGAAUUCUUCUUUUUCGCUUCAAAUAUUUUAGUUGAUUUCUUUUUUUAUAUCAUAGAAAGUGGCACGGUAGCAGUUUUAUAAAUAUUAAAGUUGUCAAAAUCGGUCAUAAUUUGCGGGCCAACCUAGUCCACCAUUGGUUUGUACCGAGUUAUAUGAAUUCUUCUUUUUCGCUUCAAAUAUUUUAGUUGAUUUCUUUUUUAAUCAAAAUUUAAUCAUAAAUUAUAAUAAAGUGUUUAUUUUUCGGUGUUUCGUUUAUUCUAUUUAGUGAGAUUAUGGGAUCUAUUAUUAGAAUUCUUUCUACUUUUAUCUUUGAUUUUCUAAAUGAGAAAAUGCAUGAUAGAGAUUUCAAUUUUAUUAAAUUAUAAUUAUAAAAUGGAAUGUAAAUUAUAUUUUAAAAGUUUUUAUUAAAUAAUUCAACUUUGAUCGAUUAAUAAAAUAAUUUUGAUGAUUAAAAGUACAAAAUAUAUAAGACUUAAAAUAGUAUAUCACACCAGUGAAAAAUAUAUUUUUUAUAGCGAUUUCUUUAUACCUAUUCAAAUUUAGCAGGUAUAGAAAGUGGCGCGGUAGCAGUUUUAUAAAUAUUAGAGCUGUCAAAAUCGGUCAUAAUUCGCGGGCCAACCUAGUCCACCAUUGGUUCGUACCGGGUUAAGUUUGAAAAAAUUGCAUUUUUUUUAUGCGGGUCAGAUUUCAACCCGGCUCAUUUAAACCUGACUUAUGCGGAUUGAACUCGUGGUGAGCCGAGUUGGCCCAGCGACCCACCUACCUAAUUUUAUUUUAUUAAAAUAUAAUUUUAAUUUUAUAAAAAAAUAUUUAUUAUUAUUUUUGCUUGAAAAAAUUAUUUAGUUCCCUAUUUUCAAAAUUAAUUAAACAUCAUAGUGAAAUUUGGGAGUAAAAUUUGUUUAGAUUUGAAUUAUAAAAAAAUUGUAAUUUCUUUUAUUUUAAAAAAAUGUAAUUAAGUGGACUAAUGAGUCAAUCCGUUUACUCACCAACCCGUGGUGAGUCGGAGCAGGUUCAAAUUUUUCUGACCAACUAAUAAACAAGUCAUGUUGAGUUGUCUCACUAAAUGACCAACCCGUGAUAAACUGGAUCGAAUUACCUGUUUUAACAAGUCUAAUAAAUAUAGAAACUUUUUACACCGACUACAAUAAAAACAGGUAUGAAAAGUGGUAUGACAGUAAUAUUGUAAUAAAAUACAAUUGAAAAUUCAUUUUUCUUAUACAUGUUAAGACUAGAGAAGGUAUAAAUUAUUUGUCUAUACGAGUUAAAUAUCACAACAAAUAUCAAUUAUUUUACAUAUUCAAUUUGUUUUUCCCGAAUACUUUCUCUUCUGUGCAAAAAUUCAUCCCAAUUAUCAUUGUUUUUAAAAGGUAAAGUUAUUUUUAUAUAUACAAAAAUUUAAGAAUAUUUAUUAUAAGAGAACGUUGGAGUGAAAACUUUAUUUUAUAAAAUUAUUUUGUUACUACCUUUUAUUGUUUCGAUAUUUGGAAUCAAUUGACUUCUUAACCAGUUAUUGAUUAUCCAAUAUAUCUUAUUAGAGAGUGGAAAUUGUGGUCUAAACUUUCCUAACUUUUAUUAUGCCUUAAACCUUUUCUUCUUUGUUCCAUUUUCUUAAUCAAAAUAAGGUUUUAAAUUCUAAAUCUUAAAUUGAUCAUUAAUUAUGACGAAAAUCACCUUUUUGAAUGAAAGAAUUGAUUGUUUGAUACAGGACAUAUUAUACAUUUAUUUAUCAAAUUUUAUUUAGAUAUAUUUUGACAUUUUUCUAUCUAACAAAAUUGUUAAGAUUCAGUUUUUUCCUCAAUUUCAAGUUAUAAAAAUUGAUUAAAGUCGGAAGGAGACUCAAUUUUCACAAUGAAAAUUGCUUCUUUUUUUUUAAGUCGCAAGCACCUCGCACAACAUACAUUAAUUUCCUGUAUAGAAACGUUAGUCCACAUGACUUCUUUCUUCAAAUGCUACCCAUUCUAAUAAUAAAACUAAGAAUGUACACCCAUCUGUUAAAAAAACCAGAUAAACAUGUAACAAUUGCCACAACAGGAAGACAUACAUAUCUUGUUACACAUGGGAAUCACGAUAUUACAACCCAUGUGCCUGCUCAAUUAAUUAGUUCAGCCUUGUUGACACGUCUCUUCAACUUCUAUUAAACAAUUUGUCCUCUGCAGUUUUAUAGUAUUUUAGAGUGUUUAAACUUCCCCCAGGGUGGAGAUUUAAAAUAAAAACAAAAACAAAAGAAAUGGCUGGAUUCUGAAUGAUUUCAUGAAAACACAAUGGACAUAAAUUAGAGUAUAUAGACAAGGUGGGUUGGAUGGAAAUUAAAAUAAUGUUAUUACAUAUAUAGAAGGUUAUUUAUUUCAACUUUUUAUAAUUAUUACAAAUUGUUUUAUUCUGAAAAUAAUAUUUCUCUUAAAAUUAGUUUUUAUAUUUUUUUUAAAUGUCAUGUAAUUUCUUUUAUCAAACCGGGAGACUGUUUUAAGUAAUUUUAAUAAAAGAUGCAAUUUUAUUUCUCUCAACGUUAUUAUAUAUGUUUGUAGUAAAAUAAAAUAUAAUUUAUUUUCAUAAAAUUUCUAGAAUUUAAUCAUCUUUGCUUCUUCACAAAGUAAUCUUUAUUAAAAGAUUUAAAAGAUCAAAGUAUAACACGAGUAAUCAAAAUGCCGACAGAUUUAGCCCAAUAUAUAAUUUAAUUAAUAACAUAUCGUGACAUGACUUCCAACAAGUAGUAUAAAAGUCGUAUUUUACUUCAUAAUUUCAACAUGGUUCAGUUAACAAUAAAUAAAAUAUGAUUUUAAUGAAAAUAAAACCACAUUUUGAAAUGAACUUUCAUGUUUGAAGUUUUUUUGAGAAAUAAGCUAUAUCAAUUAGUAUAUUUUCUUUCUAAAAAUUGAUCUAUUUUAAUAGUUUUUUGUUUUAAAUAAUCACUCAGGUCAAAAGUUCUUAGUGUUUUUAACUUAAAUCUGGCUAGGACAUGAGUUUGGAUUGUUCGGAGGAGUCACGGGUAAAAGUUAUAACCUUUUGAUAAGGAUACUACUUCGUUAUAACUAAUUCAAUGAAUAAAUAAAAAUAUCGUCUUCAAAAAAAAAUUGAGUCACGUUAUUUAAUAGAUUUGUUUAACAAAAUUAAUUUAAUGACAAUGAAAAUUUGAUUAAUGUAAACUAAAGAUAAUGAAAUUAAUAAAAUAUUAAAAUUUGAAUUUAAAAGUUGAAAAUAAGCUUUGUUAGAAUUGAGUUAAUGAGUAAAUUUCUUAAAACAAAUUCUAAAGAUAUAUGUUUAAUUAUUGUAAUUAAAUGUAACCCUUGCAUUAAAAUCUUAUGUUUAUAAAUGAUCAAAAAAUUAAAACUAUUUCUAGCAUCGUUCCUUUUGGUUGUUUUUGUUAAGUUCAUAAUCAAAUUUACUUUAUAUAAAAUAUAUCAUACUUUCCUAUAAUGACAAGUAAAAGGAACACAAAUUUAUAUUCAAAAGGAAGAUUACAUAAAAUGUCAGUCAUUACAUUCAAUUCCAACGAAUGAAAGAAUUAGUUAUUCCUAGUCAUCUAGAACGUACACAUUUUUGUAAUCUCUUGUAUACAAUGUUGUCUGGAUGCCAUGAAAUAGUUUCCUGAAGUUUGCAAACUUUAUGGUUCUUUGCUCUAUGUCAGAAGUUCUCCAAAGAUCUCAUGCGCUAAACAAAUAUUCAAGUACAAUUCUUUAACAUAAAACAAUAAUUAGUUGUGUGAAUUAUUUCUAACUUAGCGAGAAAUGUAUGACAACACGCCACUUUGAUAUAUAAAUUUUUGUACAAUUUAUUACACACUUCCUUACUUUUAAUUACAACUUUUUAAUGAGAAAGUUACAAUUUGAACUCAUUAUUUAUAAACCUAAAAUCAAGUAUUUUCAUACUUAUAAAAAAAUUCUCCCAUUUAUUUUAUUAUUUUUUACUAAUAAUUUAUUUUAUAUUUUAAUUAAAUAUUCAAACUUUUUAUUAAGUUAUUUUAAAAAAUUGGUUUGUGAAAGAAGCAUCCUGAUGUGAUAUUAUAAAACAAUAAUUUCGUAGUAUCAUAUCAUAUGAUAUUUUUACAAUAAAGAUAAAAAAAUUUCCCCAGCUACAAUAAAUCAAUUGAACGCACCCAACCAAAUUCCUUUUGGUUUCAGUAUUUAUANACUACAAGAAGCAUAGUCCCAUAAUCAAUCAUCUGACCAAAAACAUUCUUGAAUACGAUGGCUUUCCACGAAAACCCUCUCGCGCAGUACACAGUACCACUUGCCAUCUCAUUCUUCUGUCUGUUGUUAUUUCUCUUCGUUUUUUCAUCUCUAUCCAGAAAGCCCAAAAACCACAGUGCAGCAACGAGAAAAGCACCACCAGAAGCAAGUGGCGCGUGGCCUUUGAUUGGCCACCUCCACCUCUUAGGGGGGUCGAAACCGCCACACGUUACUUUGGGCCANAUGGCCGACAAAUACGGUCCCAUCUUCACCUUGCGUCUGGGAGCUCACAAAACGCUGGUUGUGAGCGANUGGAAAAUGGCUAAAGAGUGCUUUACCGUCAACGACAGAGCUUUCGCUAGCCGUCCCAAAUCCAUGGCCUUUGAAUUGUUGGGCUACAACUUUUCCAUGAUUGGGUUCAGCCCCUAUGGUUCUUACUGGCGCCAUGUGCGCAAAAUCGCCACGGUGGAGCUCCUCUCUUCGCAUCGCNUAGACACUCUGAAGCACGUGAUNGAUGCCGAAGUGAAAGCAGCAAUGANGGACAGUUACANUUUGUGGUUGAAGAAGAAAGACGGCGGUUCNGAAAUGAAGAGGUGGUUUGGGGACAUAACAUUGAACAUUAUGUUCCGGACGGUGGUAGGAAAACGUUUUGGNAGUGACGGCGGUGUGAAUGAAGAGAACGAACAGCUACGAAAGGCAUUGAGGGAGUUGUUUGAUCUGAGCGGUUCAUUCGCAGUUUCUGACUCUCUGCCAUAUCUAAGAUGGUUAGAUUUGGAUGGUAUCGAGAAGAAAAUGAAGAGAACGGCAAAAGAGUUAGAUGGGUUUGUUCAGAAUUGGCUUGAAGAACACAAACGCAACAGAGGUUGUGAUUUAGGUGAAGGGAAACAUAACCAGGACCUGAUGGACGUGCUUCUUGGGCUUGCCGAACAAGGCGAAGAGUUUGACGGUCGGGACCCUGACACCACAAUCAAAGCUACGUGUAUGGUACGUGUCCACUUGUUAUUACUUUUAUUCCUUGCUUGUCACAUGGCUCACAAUUUUUUUUAAUAAUAAGUUAUUUUCACACAAUUUUUUUUAAUGAUUAAAUAUUUU
This 7462-nucleotide long non-coding RNA is filed under the name Vigna radiata. Its description in RNAcentral is "long non-coding RNA (VRAD_LNC003906)". Lineage: Eukaryota; Viridiplantae; Streptophyta; Magnoliopsida; Fabales; Fabaceae. The record is from RNAcentral.